CUUCAUCACCAGCAGCUGUCCCUCUCCCGCCUCUCUCUCCCCCUUUCGUUUCUUCUCCUCUUCUUCUUUAUCCCUCUCUCUGCCUCCCUCUCCCUUUCUCCCACCGCCUCUUCUUUCUCCUCUCCGUCCACCAGCCACCGGCGGAAAACCAACAGAAGCCGCCGGUGAAGGCAGCAACCAGCAGCCCACCAGCCGCCUCCCUCUCCCCUCUCCCGUCGCUCCCUCUUCUCUCCCCGCCUUCUCUUCUCCAUCGUUGGCAACAACAAAACAGCAAUAAAAGAAGACCGGCGGACGGCAGCAGCUCCGGCGGAGGAUCAGCAAAGGCAUCGACCAGCAUCCCGGCGUCAUCCUCUCCUCUCUUCUCUUCUCCGUCCAUCUCUUCAUAUCUUCUCCGCGUUUUUUUUAUCGCUGGCAGCAUUCAGGCGAGCUGCCAGGCAGUAGCAACUCCACGCACCAGCAGCACAAGAAGAUCAGCUACGUCAACAACUAAACUUCCCGCCGCCAAUUUUCUGACCAAUAGAUAAAAGUGAAGUAUAGAUCAGUCCAGGUUUCAAACUUGAAGUUCAAGUUGAAGAUCAACCAUGAAUCUAUAUUUCUUUUUCUUAUUUUUAUUUAUUUGAAUGUUGUAACAUUUGUAACUCUAAGAUCAUAUAUAUAAAUUUAUUUGGGGGUCGUCUAGGGGAGGAGGAUUUAUAUGCUUACUUGUUCAUUAUAAUUUUUUUAGAAAUCAUGCCUAUAGGUUUGUCUUUAACCACCUAGAAUUAUUAUUUGUAGGUGUUAUAAUCCAAUCAAUUGUUUGAUGUUUUGUUAAUAAGUCUAAAAAAUAAUAAACUAGAUUCCAUUAAUUUUUAAUGUUAAAAACAAAUCAUAAUAAUCUAGUAGGCUGAUCAGGUGUUUUAACAAUGUUAUAACUUUUAGCAUCAUCUUGUCAUGUAGAAACCAUGCCUAAGGUUUAAUUUGUUCAUAUCAUUUAGAUUCACAAAAGCAUGCAUAUGUGUUAUUCCUUCUUCUAAACACCUAGAAAUUCAUGUCUAUAGGCUUGAAAAUAACUUUUAACAUAUCCGUAAAAAAUAAAAUUCGUUUGUGCAUAUUUGUGCCUUUCCCCAAAAUUGGUUAAUAUUAUUAGUAAUCUUAUUUGUUUUCCGCAUUCAUGAUGCAAUAUUUUUUUAAUAACACUAAAUUAGAAUCAUUGCAUGCAUUUGACAAAUUACUUGGCUUUAAAAAUGUUUCAUAUCAAAACCUUGCAACAUAAUUUUCUUUAAAAAAAGUCAUUAUUCAAUCUUUCUUUAAAACUUUGGAUUGAUUAUGACAUUGUUUAUUUUGAAAAAAAAUAAUUAUAAGCACUACCUCCUAACCUAUCGUUAGUGGGAAAGUCAAAGAAACUACGAGGUCUAGUUCCAAUUUUUUUAAACCCGACGCAUCCCCGGAAGUACCACCUACCCAUGGAUUUCAAAAGAAAUUAUGUGCAUUUAUAUGUGAAUGUUUAUGUGCCUACGUGUGAACUAAAUCUUUUAAAUCAUUUUUUCAAAAACAUAAA
Molecule: long non-coding RNA, 1537 nt
Organism: Solanum pennellii
Lineage: Eukaryota; Viridiplantae; Streptophyta; Magnoliopsida; Solanales; Solanaceae
Exons: 2
Source: RefSeq, a predicted model, not a curated record